RNAcentral lists this ribosomal RNA (492 nucleotides) under uncultured bacterium. RNAcentral's name for it is "partial 16S ribosomal RNA". It matches the Rfam family "Bacterial small subunit ribosomal RNA", at positions 29 to 507 of the family's 1533-position model. The record is from RNAcentral.
AGUGAACGCUGGCGGUAGGCCUAACACAUGCAAGUCGAACGGCAGCACAGUAAGAGCUUGCUCUUACGGGUGGCGAGUGGCGGACGGGUGAGGAAUACAUCGGAAUCUACUUUUUCGUGGGGGAUAACGUAGGGAAACUUACGCUAAUACCGCAUACGACCUACGGGUGAAAGCAGUGGAUCUUCGGACCUUGCGCGAUUGAAUGAGCCGAUGUCGGAUUAGCUAGUUGGCGGGGUAAAGGCCCACCAAGGCGACGAUCCGUAGCUGGUCUGAGAGGAUGACCAGCCACACUGGAACUGAGACACGGUCCAGACUCCUACGGGAGGCAGCAGUGGGGAAUAUUGGACAAAGGGCGCAAGCCUGAUCCAGCCAUACCGCGUGGGUGAAGAAGGCCUUCGGGUUGUAAAGCCCUUUUGUUGGGAAAGAAAAGCAGCAGGUUAAUACCCCGCUGUUCUGACGGUACCCAAAGAAUAAGCACCGGCUAACUUCGUG